RNAcentral lists this ribosomal RNA (440 nucleotides) under uncultured bacterium. RNAcentral's name for it is "partial 16S ribosomal RNA". It matches the Rfam family "Bacterial small subunit ribosomal RNA", at positions 338 to 795 of the family's 1533-position model. The record is from RNAcentral.
CCUACGGGAGGCAGCAGUGGGGAAUAUUGCACAAUGGGGGAAACCCUGAUGCAGCGACGCCGCGUGAAGGAAGAAGUAUUUCGGUAUGUAAACUUCUAUCAGCAGGGACGAAAAUGACGGUACCUGACUAAGAAGCCCCGGCUAACUACGUGCCAGCAGCCGCGGUAAUACGUAGGGAGCGAGCGUUAUCCGGAUUUACUGGGUGUAAAGGGAGCGUAGGCGGGUUGGCAAGUCAGAAGUGAAAGCCCGGGGCUCAACUCCGGGACUGCUUUUGAAACUGUUGUACUAGAGUGAAGUAGAGGUAAGCGGAAUUCCUAGUGUAGCGGUGAAAUGCGUAGAUAUUAGGAGGAACAUCAGUGGCGAAGGCGGCUUACUGGACUUUAACUGACGCUGAGGCUCGAAAGCGUGGGGAGCAAACAGGAUUAGAUACCCGUGUAGUC